Molecule: ribosomal RNA, 168 nt
Filed under: Coprosma robusta
Lineage: Eukaryota; Viridiplantae; Streptophyta; Magnoliopsida; Gentianales; Rubiaceae
Description: 5.8S ribosomal RNA
Rfam family: 5.8S ribosomal RNA
About the family: 5.8S ribosomal RNA (5.8S rRNA) is a component of the large subunit of the eukaryotic ribosome. It is transcribed by RNA polymerase I as part of the 45S precursor that also contains 18S and 28S rRNA.
Source: RNAcentral
AACCAAAACGACUCUCGGCAACGGAUAUCUAGGCUCUCGCAUCGAUGAAGAACGUAGCGAAAUGCGAUACUUGGUGUGAAUUGCAGAAUCCCGUGAACCAUCGAGUUUUUGAACGCAAGUUGCGCCCGAAGCCAGAUGGCUGAGGGCACGUCUGCCUGGGCGUCACGC